UUGCCUUGCGUCGGAUCUUGGGGUCGCUUUCUUGGCUAAGCAACUUGGUCAGCAUCAGUGUUCUCGGGGUUUCGACAGCGUAUAGUGUGUUUGAAACGCUAAGUGCUUUUUUCCAGUUUUCUUCCCUUCUAAGCCGUUAACAAAAACACAAACACCAUGGACGCCAUCAAGAAGAAGAUGCAAGCGAUGAAGCUUGAGAAGGAUAAUGCCAUUGAUAAGGCCGAUACCUGCGAGAACCAAGCUAAGGAUGCCAACUCCCGCGCCGACAAACUGAACGAGGAGGUGCGCGAUCUGGAGAAGAAGUUCGUCCAGGUUGAGGUUGAUCUGGUCACCGCCAAGGAGCAGCUGGAGAAGGCUAACACCGAGCUGGAGGAGAAGGAGAAACUCCUUACCUCCACCGAAUCGGAGGUGGCCACCCUCAACCGUAAGGUUCAACAGAUUGAGGAGGAUCUGGAGAAGUCCGAGGAGCGCUCGACCACCGCCCAACAGAAGCUGCUGGAGGCCACCCAGUCGGCUGAUGAGAACAACCGUAUGUGCAAGGUGUUGGAGAACCGUUCCCAGCAGGAUGAGGAGCGCAUGGAUCAGCUCACCAACCAGCUGAAGGAGGCCCGCAUGCUCGCUGAGGAUGCUGAUACCAAGUCCGAUGAAGUCUCCCGCAAGCUGGCCUUCGUUGAAGACGAGCUGGAGGUUGCUGAGGAUCGUGUCCGUUCCGGCGAGUCCAAGAUCAUGGAGCUGGAGGAGGAGCUGAAGGUUGUCGGCAACUCUCUGAAGUCUCUGGAGGUGUCUGAGGAGAAGGCCAACCAGCGCGUGGAGGAGUUCAAGCGCGAGAUGAAGACCCUGUCCGCCAAGUUGAAGGAGGCCGAGCAGCGUGCCGAGCACGCCGAGAAGCAGGUCAAGCGCCUGCAGAAGGAGGUCGACAGGCUAGAGGACCGUCUCUUCCAUGAGAAGGAAAAAUACAAAGCAAUCUGCGACGAUUUGGACCAGACAUUUGCCGAACUUACUGGAUAUUAAUACAAAAAAAUCAAGAACAAAAAACCCAAAACCAAAAAAAUCCAAACAAUACUCACACAUACAUCCCCUUUCCGAAAGAAAAUACGAUUUUUUUCCCCCAACUAUAUAUAUUUUUUUUAUAUACAAUAUAUUAUUUUUCCGAUGCCAGUGUAUUUAUCCAGACCCGUACACUUCUGUCCACGACUCUUUCUUUAUACACUGUAAAUAAUUUGUUUAGUCUCGCUUGAAUGUGGCCACACCCACACACGCCCCAGUCUCCACCCAGUACACUGUAAAAAAUCAAGUUCAGUUCAAGCCAAAGCCAAAAAUAAGUUGCAACUGUAGUUAAUUGUGCUUUCAACACACAGACGAGCUGGGCAUCAACAAGGACAGGUACAAGUCCCUGGCCGACGAGAUGGACUCCACAUUCGCCGAAUUGGCUGGCUAUUAAAUGGCUAUUUAAAAAUAUGGCCUUUAAUCCCAGGAACAUCAUCAUCAGCAACAACAACAGCAGCAAAAACAACAACAAUGAAAAAAAGCGGAGGAAACAGAAGAAGACGACGACGAAGUACUCUACUAAUUUUAACGAUUAUCUCAGAAUGAUAUCAGAUACCAAGAACAACAUCCAUUGUGUAUAAAAAUUUCUUUAUAAAUCUAUAUACUUCAUAAUAAAUAAAUAACAACAACAACAAGAUCAACAACA
RNAcentral lists this unclassified non-coding RNA (1693 nucleotides) under Drosophila ananassae. RNAcentral describes it as "GF11475". The record is from RNAcentral. Lineage: Eukaryota; Metazoa; Arthropoda; Insecta; Diptera; Drosophilidae.